Molecule: transfer RNA, 71 nt
Filed under: Phycisphaerae bacterium
Lineage: Bacteria; Pseudomonadati; Planctomycetota; Phycisphaerae
Also listed under: 1 other name
Description: tRNA-Gln
Rfam family: tRNA
About the family: Transfer RNA (tRNA) molecules are approximately 80 nucleotides in length.
Source: RNAcentral
UGGCCCGUGGUGUAACGGUAGCACCUCAGGUUUUGGUCCUGAUGGUCCUAGUUCGAAUCUAGGCGGGCCAG